This 492-nucleotide ribosomal RNA is filed under the name uncultured bacterium. RNAcentral's name for it is "partial 16S ribosomal RNA". It matches the Rfam family "Bacterial small subunit ribosomal RNA", at positions 29 to 507 of the family's 1533-position model. The record is from RNAcentral.
AGUGAACGCUGGCGGUAGGCCUAACACAUGCAAGUCGAACGGCAGCACAGUAAGAGCUUGCUCUUAUGGGUGGCGAGUGGCGGACGGGUGAGGAAUACAUCGGAAUCUACUUUUUCGUGGGGGAUAACGUAGGGAAACUUACGCUAAUACCGCAUACGACCUACGGGUGAAAGCAGGGGAUCUUCGGACCUUGCGCGAUUGAAUGAGCCGAUGUCGGAUUAGCUAGUUGGCGGGGUAAAGGCCCACCAAGGCGACGAUCCGUAGCUGGUCUGAGAGGAUGAUCAGCCACACUGGAACUGAGACACGGUCCAGACUCCUACGGGAGGCAGCAGUGGGGAAUAUUGGACAAUGGGCGCAAGCCUGAUCCAGCCAUACUGCGUGGGUGAAGAAGGCCUUCGGGUUGUAAAGCCCUUUUGUUGGGAAAGAAAAGCAGCAGGUUAAUACCCCGCUGUUCUGACGGUACCCAAAGAAUAAGCACCGGCUAACUUCGUG